GACGAACGCUGGCGGCGUGCUUAAUACAUGCAAGUCGAGCGAGGUUACUGUUUUGGAUCCCUUCGGGGUGAAGAAGCUUUAACCUAGCGGCGGACGGGUGAGUAACGCGUGGGUAACCUACCCCAAAGUCCGGGAUAACAGCGGGAAACCGCUGCUAAUACCGGAUGCCUUUACCUUGGGGCAUCUUGAGGUAAAGAAAGGUAACGCUUUGGGAUGGGCCCGCGUCCCAUUAGCUAGUUGGUGAGGUAACGGCUCACCAAGGCGACGAUGGGUAGCCGGCCUGAGAGGGUGGACGGCCACACUGGGACUGAGACACGGCCCAGACUCCUACGGGAGGCAGCAGUAGGGAAUAUUGCGCAAUGGACGGAAGUCUGACGCAGCGACGCCGCGUGAGCGAUGAAGGUCUUCGGAUCGUAAAGCUCUGUCCUUGGGGAAGAAGGCGAAAGCUUGACGGUACCCAAGAAGAAAGCCCCGGCUAACUACGUGCCAGCAGCCGCGGUAAUACGUAGGGGGCGAGCGUUGUCCGGAAUUACUGGGCGUAAAGGGUGCGUAGGCGGCCCUUUAAGUCGGAUGUGAAAGCCCGCGGCUUAACCGCGGAAUGGCAUUCGAAACUGGAGGGCGUGAGUGUCGGAGAGGGUAGUGGAAUUCCCAGUGUAGCGGUGAAAUGCGUAGAUAUUGGGAGGAACACCAGUGGCGAAGGCGACUACCUGGACGAUAACUGACGCUGAGGCACGAAAGCUAGGGAAGCAAA
This 751-nucleotide ribosomal RNA is filed under the name uncultured bacterium. Its description in RNAcentral is "bacterial SSU rRNA". It matches the Rfam family "Bacterial small subunit ribosomal RNA", at positions 28 to 772 of the family's 1533-position model. The record is from RNAcentral.